CAGCAGCCGCGGGAAUACGGAGGGGGCUAGCGUUGUUCGGAAUUACUGGGCGUAAAGCGCACGUAGGCGGCUUGGUAAGUUAGAGGUGAAAGCCCGGAGCUCAACUCCGGAAUUGCCUUUAAGACUGCCGAGCUAGUAGGUGAGAGAGGUAAGUGGAAUUCCGAGUGUAGAGGUGAAAUUCGUAGAUAUUCGGAAGAACACCAGUGGCGAAGGCGGCUUACUGGCUCAUUCUAGACGCUGAGGUGCGAAAGCGUGGGGAGCAAACAGGAUUAGAGACCCCCGUAGUCCCUGUCUCUUAUAC
This 301-nucleotide ribosomal RNA is filed under the name uncultured bacterium. Its description in RNAcentral is "partial 16S ribosomal RNA". It matches the Rfam family "Bacterial small subunit ribosomal RNA", at positions 509 to 807 of the family's 1533-position model. The record is from RNAcentral.